UCCGCUGGUCAGGUGAUCGCUGGCGAAUUUUUUUCGCGAGAGGAAAGUCCGGGCUUCGCAGGGCAGGGUGGUCGGUAACGCCGACCGGUCGAGAGAUCAGGGACAGUGCCACAGAAAGCAAACCGCCGAACGGAGCGAUACGUCGCUUGCGUGGCAAGGGUGAAACGGUGAGGUAAGAGCUCACCAGCGCCGUUGGUGACUUCGGCGGCUUGGUAAACCCCACCCGAAGCAAGGCCAAACAGAAAGCAGUGGCGGCCCGCCGCGUUAUGACUUUCGGGUAGGCUGCUUGAGCGUGUCAGCAAUGGCUCGCCUAGAUAAAUGAUCAUCCACGACAAAACCCGGCUUACCGACCAGCACUUUUU
Molecule: RNase P RNA, 362 nt
Filed under: Mariniblastus fucicola
Lineage: Bacteria; Pseudomonadati; Planctomycetota; Planctomycetia; Pirellulales; Pirellulaceae
Description: Planctomyces sp. FC18 Bacterial RNase P class A
Rfam family: Bacterial RNase P class A
About the family: Ribonuclease P (RNase P) is a ubiquitous endoribonuclease, found in archaea, bacteria and eukarya as well as chloroplasts and mitochondria. Its best characterised activity is the generation of mature 5'-ends of tRNAs by cleaving the 5'-leader elements of precursor-tRNAs.
Source: Rfam by way of RNAcentral